This 337-nucleotide unclassified non-coding RNA is filed under the name soil metagenome. Its description in RNAcentral is "partial contains 5.8S ribosomal RNA, internal transcribed spacer 2, and large subunit ribosomal RNA". The stretch from base 1 to 120 matches the Rfam family "5.8S ribosomal RNA", at positions 35 to 154 of the family's 154-position model. The record is from RNAcentral.
GAUGAAGAACGCAGCGAAAUGCGAUAAGUAGUGUGAAUUGCAGAAUUCAGUGAAUCAUCGAAUCUUUGAACGCACAUUGCGCCCCAUGGUAUUCCGUGGGGCAUGCCUGUUCGAGCGUCAUUUACCCCCUCAAGCUCCGCUUGGUGUUGGGCGUCUGUCCCGCUUCGCGCGCGGACUCGCCCCAAAGGUAUUGGCAGCGGUCGUGCCAGCUUCUCGCGCAGCACAUUGCGCUUCUCGAGGCACCGGUGGGCCCGCGUCCAUCAAGCUCACUCCCCCAGUUUGACCUCGGAUCAGGUAGGGAUACCCGCUGAACUUAAGCAUAUCAAUAAGCGGAGGA